AGGCAAGUUCAAGUGCAGAAAGUUCUGACUUUCUGGAGGAGGGGUGAGGCUGAGGAAAUAAUACAGGGAGAAGAAGGAACAUGGACGGUCCAUACUCAACAGCACUUUUGUGCUCAUUCCGGACAUGUGCAAAGUGUCAAAAAACUGGGCUUGCACGGAGCAGUGGUUCCAUUCUGGCUGACUCGGUGUUUGCAGUGACUGUUAGAACAUUGUUGCGAAUCAGGAGAAUCGGCUGAGCUUCGUACUCUUUCCUGAGCACGUGGUCCUGCGUCCCGGGAGAGCUUCCUGAGGGCAGUGAGGCCAAGCCAAGCACAUGCCUACUCAUGUUUGUCAUGCACAUGAUUUAAAGAAGGUGGUACCUAGAGCACCCUGAGCCUGUGCUAAGCGGUGCCACAUGCCCUCCUGGCCCUGAAAGAACCCUGAGAGGUGAAUUGUUAUGGGCUCAGGGACCCACAGACAACAGACAUAGCUAGGCAGGAAUGGACAUAAGGAGACGUCAGAGUAUGCACAUGCGGGGUGGGGGUAAAGUGGGGGACCAUUAGAGCAAGGCCCAGGAGCCUGGGCCUUCUACAUCCUGGUCCAGGCAAUAUAGGCCUAAGAAAGCAGGGGAGCUCCUUCCCCUUGACUUGGAAAGGCUUCUCAGGGGAAGCUGGGGGAUGGAAAAAUCAGUGGGAAGUGGGGGUCACACGUGCGGCACCACAUAGAGGGAACAAAACCUGAAGUGGCACAGAUGAUGUGGGCCCUCUGGGUAAGUACAGACGUGAGACCAUGGAGGGGUAUCCUGGGGCCUGGGGAACAAGACAGGUGAUAUUAGUGAAAGAUGAGGGAGAAGGUGUGACAGUGCAGAAUGUAACAAAUUGUCACACAUGGGCCUGAAUGUUCCAUGUGGAUCUUCGCAGAUCCUGAGGUCAGUUCCCAAAGAAGAAUGUUGGUGAGUCCAGUGCAGCCAGGCAGCUAGUCCACUGCCCAACCACAGGCAGUGGCUGGGGCUAUGCCUGGAGAAUGAGGGAGUGGGUGGAAUUGUUCAGAAAUUCUGGCUUGGAGGGUGGUGAGGGGUAACAUCCAGAGGUUGGGGCAGACUGGAGGUAGAGUUUCUGCACAUAAAGAUAAAGACCCAGGGGCCAUCAGGGUCAGGGAAGAAGUUCAACUUUGGGCCUAGGUGAGCAGGCUCAGACCACACAGGACCAGAAAAGAAGAGAACCCGGGGCUGACGCACACAGGCAACAAGGAGAGGCUGAGAAAGCCAUGGGACUUCACACCAUGUGCCUAUUCAGCUGCAUUCCCACCAAAGUCCAUACAAAGGAGUGCUAAGUGAGCACCCUGUGGUAAUGGGUCCCCCUAGCAUCCUGACACUGUCUGGUGGACCUGGAAAAAUUGGACUGUGAACAGUAAAGGCAGUAGAGUUCAAGCAGAGUUAGCAUAUAUUUAUCGACAACAGGCCAUAAGAAACAUCCCUGGAAAGACAGGAAGGGUUUGUGUCAGGGGCGAGAUGGGUGGGGGUGGGGGGCAGCAGCAAUGCCUCCCGUGCCCCCAUCACACCCCCUUGGCCCUCAUCUGCUUUGAGGGCAGCUCUGGUGGCAGAGGUUCCUUUAACUGACACCAUCCCAGCUCAAGUUCACAACCCCCUGAGGCCGAGGGAGCCCCCUGGGCCCACAUGUGAAUGCAGGCGGGCCCUCAGCACCGCCAGGAACAAUCUUCAGCCCAUGGGGAUGGGAGCCAGCAGAUGAAUGCUCGGCUCCUGCCCAUCACGGUCAGUUCUUGGAAGGCAUGCCGCUGCCAUUCCCAGGAUGUCCCCAGGGAAUCUACCCUGCUGCCCUCAGCAGUGACCUUAGGCUGGUUUUUCCUUCAUCCUGUCUCACUCUUUGCGCCCUUUUUUCCCUUCCCAGAUCACUUCCCAAGUCCUAGGAUCUGCACCCAAGUCCCUGUCCUAGGCUCUGCUUCUGGAAGAAUCAGAAAGGGAAGUUUAAGAAUAUAGGGGUGGUCUGUGAUGUUAAAUGCCACCAACAGCUCAAGAAGAAUGAUGCGUAGGAAGAGCCAUUAGCAACAGGGAGGUGGUGCAGGUUGUUGCAGGGACACAACCACUGGAGCAUAGGGCUGGGCCCGGUACCCCUGGCUGCAACCCCAGUGUGCAGAUUCGGCCCCUGUUCUGGGCAACCCUUACCACAGGGCACACACCUCCCUCAGUCUCUGGAAGAGGUGCUCCCUGAACCAGAGUUUUCUGAAAGUUUUGUAGACAAGUUGAAUAAGGGGUUUUUCACUCCACUGUAAACUUGACCGGUUCCCUUUGGACAGUGUGUCUCCUCAGCCCCUCUCUCCAGCCACCACCAUCCCUCGUUCUGGAUGCCCGGGCCCUCUGCCCUGCUGGGUCCUGGGCAGCUCUGCUCUGCACAGCCGGGCUACCUCUCUGGGCAGCCAUCUCCCUGAUGCUGACAGGCCAGCCACAGAGUGAAGCUGAGAGGGAGUGCUGCUGUGGUCCGUGGGGCUCCCGCCUCAGUAAUGUGUCUCCUCCCACAGCCACUUUUUAUAGAGAAGACACGCCCUGAACAAGAGUCCGGGUGACCUAGUGCAUCCUUCCCCACAAGUCAGAGUGGAGGCCUUGGUGCAGCACACAAAGGGCAACAAACAACUUUUUCUGGAAGUCUGUUGCCCCAGUGUGUUCUCUGCUGGACUCAUAAAUGGCUGGAUUCACAGGAGGCCAGUAGGAGCUCUAAGUGCCCUGCUUUUUACUGGGCACAUCCACCCCCCUUGCACAUCCCUGCCAGCACUCAUUUCCCUAACAAGGGCUUAUAAGGCAGCAGUUAGUGCCAGCCCCAGGGCUCAGGGCCGACCGUGGGGGUGGGGGAGGCAGGCUCCUGUGUGUUCUCGGGUGCUUCCAGCCGGAGCGGGAGCAAGGCUGUGCACUGCAGGGCUGGGGGCGCCGCAGGGAUCCCCUCCCACACCAUACACCCCUCUCUCAUCCCUGGGCAGCUCCACCGAGAGUUCCAGAGCAGCAAGGGGCUUGGAUGCCCUUUACCCCCUCACCUGCUGAGAUAAUCACUUCAGAAAGGGCAACGACUUGCUGGUGCUGCUGGGCAAGUGAGGGACAAAGCCAGGACGAUGACCUGGGCUCUUUCCUCCCCUGCCCACUGCUGCCUCUGUGACAUCCACAAACCAGACAGGAGCCCCUGGGCACAUAUGCCCUAAGCUUUAGUCAUGGAUGCCAAACACAUCUCAUUUUAUGACAAGUGCUUUUAUCUGGAGGGAAUGAGGAGGGUGUGUGUGCAUGCGCGUGUGCUUGUGUGAGUGUGUGUGUGUCUGUGUGCACUGGGCAGAAUCCCAUGUUACUUACUCUUCUCAUAACCCUGGAAGACUUCUUGGAAGGGAGGUACUUAAACAGUCUUCCAAAUGGUAGACUUACUUUGUGGGCUGGUCAAGGAAGGGACCCCAGUGAUGGGAAGGGCAGGGACUGGACCUGAAAUCAGGGCUGAUGGAGUCGGAUGUCAGCUGGGGCCAAGCGGCUGUCCUAUGUAAGGCCUUGCGCUGGCUGCUGGAAAUCGCCAGAAGGCCGCAGCAGGGUCUCCGGGGUUUCUUUCGCCCAUGCCCUUGGCUCUUUUCCCAGAAGCUAAACCAGAGGUACUUUAACCUCCUCCUGCCAAACAACCAGUUGGGGAAGGAAAAGAAUAGAGCCAGCGACCAGCCACAGAGCUGCAGAGAGAGGCAGCCCCGUGUGGAGACACCAGCUGGCUUCUCUCUGGGCAGGAGGCCCCUUUUUCUUCUGGGUGGAGGCUAAGUGCCUUGUGAAAGCUGCCAGAUGCCUGGAAUCUCUGGAAACCGCAUGGGAAGGAAAUUGGAAACAGGAAUUGAAAAACUAAGGUGCAGAAACUUGCUCUGAUACAUCCUGGAAGCAAUCUAGCUGUCCAAUGUUACAGCGGCUGCUUAAAAACUAUGGUGCAUCAGUAUCCCUGACUUUAUCCAGCCGUAAGCAGCAAUUAUGACAGAACUUGCUUCUAGCAGAACAGCCAAAACCACCAUGGUGGGCACUUCGGGAGGCAAAGCACACCGAAGAGAGGACUUGGGCCACAGUGGAAUGAACUGACCGCCCUGGGUGAAGAAUAUGACUGCAGAUGUGCUGACAGUCAUUUCAUAAUCUUCAAAUUGUGGUUACAUUGCCUUUUUUAAAAGCAGAGUAUAAUAUUUAAAAGGACUCUUGAAGGAAAAGAGACAUUUCUUCACUUAACUUUCUAACCAGCAUCUUCUCUGUAUCCAUUAACUUCAAAUCUUUUCUUGACAUAUGUGAAGCUCAGAGUAAGUUCCAGAGCUUCUUUUGAGCUUGCACAGCUCUUCAAAGGGUGAUAGUAUUCAGACUCACUGCCUAACUUGGUUUCCUUAAAAGGUGACAUGCACGUGGUAGUUAAAUCUGUAAGAACAAAAGCCUCUCCUUGGAGCUGAAGUUGGGAAGCACCUCUUAGGGAAUGUAUAACUACGAACUAUUUGUUCUUCACUGUGCUGGGUGAAAGCGAGUUGUCUAAACCAUAACCAUGGAGCUUGACCAAUCUAUUGUAUAACUUCACCAAAGAAGGAUUAAACACAGAAAUCCAAACUCAUUAUUUCUUGGUACG
Non-coding RNA from Manis javanica (Malayan pangolin), 4598 nucleotides. The record is from RefSeq and is a predicted model, not a curated record. NCBI's taxonomy places the organism in Eukaryota, Metazoa, Chordata, Mammalia, Pholidota, Manidae.